RNAcentral lists this unclassified non-coding RNA (6649 nucleotides) under Leishmania donovani. Its description in RNAcentral is "gene:LdHU3.08.0450(CDS-product:hypothetical_prote in_conserved)". The record is from RNAcentral. Lineage: Eukaryota; Euglenozoa; Kinetoplastea; Trypanosomatida; Trypanosomatidae.
CCGGAGCGCUGAGUGUGUCUCCGUCGCUCUGCCUCUCCCGUGUUCCUCUUUCACCCUGCCGGCGAGUCCUGAUCUCCUCUUCGACCCGCCACGGCGGGUCGCGCACAGUCAUCUGCAUGGCCUUUACAGACUCCUCCGUCCCUCCCGCUGCCGGACACACCGGGUUUCCAGCCCUCUGCAAGGCUGCCAACGACGAUGGGAAUGAGGUCGGCACGCAGGACCCCUUCAUGGUGGCAUACCCGUCCUCUUCGCUACCGCCGUCGUAUUCCAGUAUGAUCCAGUGCGUUCUGGGACGACCCCUGCCCUUUCUGCCGUCACCGCUGUCACGAAAAGCCAACUCGCGAAGUCGGAGCGGCCUAGGUGUUGGUGGCCGUCUACGAUAUGGAACUGAUCCCAUCAGCUGUAGCGGUUCUCUGCAACUCAGUUACGAUGCCUCUGCCGCGUCCGGCCCAUCGUCGCUCUCGCGCACGGUACCACAGGGCAGCAGCGACGAGGCCAGCACGCUUGGGAAAGACUACAUAUUGAAGGAAGAGGACGCCUUUGAGUCGCCGCGCGGCACCCCCUCCGUUCCCACAGCGCUACGCCGCUCGCUGUCGCCCACAGGAGCGGCGGCAGUGGCCCGGACAAUGAUGCCGGCCGCACCCGUGCUGCUGCGCCACUCGCACGGCGGAAAAACACGUCUCUUGUAUGCCGACGGUCACGUCGAGACAGUAGUGGCGGGUGGUGCAACGAAGCCGCCAUCCAAACGGACGCAUGCGCCCAGUGCGGCGAGCCAUCGUCGUAUGUGCGCCGAUGACAAGAGAAACCAUCUUCGGAGCUUGCCGCUGGACGCAGCCCCGCUUCCGUCCCCUUCGGCGAGCGGACGGUGGCUACUCGAAUCGUUUAGCGCCGUUGCGCAGGUGCACCAGCAGCAGCUGCCGCCCCUGGUGGAGCCCAUCGUCACGCCGCAGGCGGCCGGCGCCGCCGCGUCCGCCAGUCCUCCCUCUCACGCAGCGGAGCGUAGUGCAGUGCGCCCAAUGGAGGCGGAGUCCAGCCGGCAGGCGACGAAGUUCCCAUCAUGGUCCUUCGUGACCGUUGAGCCGCAGCAACAGCAGGUCGCGGCGAGCAUCACCCUUCCACACCCUUCAGGAAAAACACCGCCAAGGCUGCCGGCCAACUUCAGCGAGGGCACAGGCAAAACCGAUCACGCCAGGGAGUCCACCGAGGCUGGGGGUGAUGAGGGCGGCCAUGGGCGCAUGGAAGGCUUCCGUGCCAUGGUGCCGGCUGGCUCGCCUCCGAUCACCGCAGCCGGGGCUGCUAGUCGUUACGAUGCCAACGAGAAGAGCAUACGCACCUCAGUGGUGUCCACAGUCGGUGUGCGACCUUCUCGCAGCACGAGCAACGUGGGCGAGGCCACACUCAGCAAGGCGGCGGACGACGCGAAGACCGCAGUCGCGGCGCUGCAGAGUGGCGUUCGUGCGGAGCUCGCGGCCGAGCAGCGUGCUGGUGCGCAGGCCUUUGCGAGCCGCUACGCCCGCGACGUCUCCGCCUCGCCGUCCCUCUUCUCCCUCCGCUUCCCUGUCCGCCCGCUGUCCGAGCUGCACGCGUUUGCGGAUCGCCCUCACCACGAGGACGCCGCCGCCGCCGCGUCGCGGGGCGCGCUGAGCACCGAUGAACGCAGUGCAUCGUUCUUGGAGCACAGAGAGGCGGCCAGUAGCACCAGGAGAGUCGAGGACGCGCCUGCCAUUUCGCCAACUCGCGCACCACCACCGCAGCAGCAGGCGCCCGACGUGCUGCUGCCAUACGCGCAGGUCACGACCCCGUCGGGUUUCACUGUGCCGGAGCUGCUGCAGGACCGUCUGCUACCACGCGAGACACCGUCACUGCAGCAGAAGCUGAGCAAACUUUACGCCGUCCGAGGCCUCAUCGACGCGCGUGACUCGACGGCGUGCCGGUUCACUGUGUCGUUCAUGUGGUUUGUCCUCCUGCGGUGCCGCAAGGCACGCCGGGAACAGUCCCUGGUCAACGGUUACCGUCUACUAUCGACCGCCUUCUCCAACGCCUUCCCGCAUGUCGCCCUGGACGAGGCCUUGCCGCCGUUGGAUGUGCUGGAGCAGCUCCUGGUGGAGCUCCUCACCUGCCUACGCUACUCGGCAGGGGUGCAGAGCGCGACGAAUACCGCGACGAGUGCUGCCGCGGCAUCGAGCGCCGCAAGCGCUGCCAGCUCAUCACGGCGCGCAGUGGAGCUGCCGACGUCGGACGGUUUUGCCACCCUAACGAGGACGUCAGGCAGGACAGCGAGCACGAGCGGGCUUCUGGCAAACGCAACCCCGACGUCGCCACCGGCGUCUACGACGCACACGACAAGCGAUACCCCGAAUGCGGCAAGCGUUGCCGCGGCCCCAUCGAAGGUGCCGCUGCGCCUUCGGCUACACGAGCACGCCGCUUACUUCCCGCUGUUGUUGAGCCCGACAUGGUCGAAACUGGUCAGCACGGGCGCCGUCGAUGCCGGCAGUGGCAACGGCUACCAAGAAUCGAAGUGGGCGCAGCAGCAGGAGCAGCCGCACAGUUCAUGUCGACAAGAGGUGCAACGGAUGCUCCCCUCUGAAGAUGCCCUGGCCAUUCUCUGCAAGAUGUAUCAGGAUCUGUGGCUACACCACAGCGAGUACGUGCAGCUAUGCUUGUACGAGGAGCUUCUGCAGAAGCAGCUCGCCCUGCAGUUUGGCACCGUGGUCAUGCACCUGCAGCAGGGGGCCAUGAGCGCCGAGGUGUCGACGGCGGCUUCCACCACGGCGUCCUUCUCCGCCGGAGUCUCCCAAGGCCUCCGACCGUCGGCGACAUGGCGCCUGUCUGCUCUAGCCAGUGCCACGCCCAUCGCCCGCAGCGAGGGCUGGGGUGACCUCCGCGCAAGUCGAAGCGGCGCGCCGACAUCAGGGGGCGAUCUGCGGGCGCGGAAGAGCAGGAACACGACCGCCAUGAUGACCAACACGGCCGUUGCUGCCGCGGCUGCCGUUGCGCCUGCCGUGAUGGACGGUAUCCUCGAGAGCCUGCUGCUGCUCGUUGCGCACGCUACCUACUACAACUGUGUCUUCUGCUUCCCGAAUGACGUCUGCGCUGGCAUGUUCGACGAGGAGUUCCGCGCGGAUGUGGUGCGCUGGCUUUUUGUAUGCUACCACGGUGUUUACCUGACACAUGUGCAGGUGCGGCACUGGCCCAUGCCGGCCAAGGGCGACUACGCGGACGCGCAGCUGAAGCGCAGAGCCGCCACGGAGCUGGAGAUCUCGGCACUGGGCCUGCUGCCGACGUGCGAGCAGCAGACGGCGGGCAUUGUACGCGCCGCUGUCGUUUCAGGUGUGCAAGGAAAGUCGUCGCUCACCGCUAUCGCUGAGGCUGCGCGGUCCGCCUCGCUCUUCACGGCCGCGGAGGACGGCAUCUUCGACGUUGGCGGCGUCGAGGCCAACAGCGAGGCCCGGGUGGUCUACCAACUCGACCGAUACGGCCGCUCCGCUGUGCUGCACGUGGCAGAGCUCGAGCGGAGCAUGGCGCUCCUCCAACGGCGCCACAUGACAGGCGAUCUGUGUGGCAGCUACAACUCACAGUUCGGGCCGCGUGGUGUUAGCGGCUCUAGUCGGACCCCCGGCAACAGUCGGGGCAGCUCCGCGGGUAGUGCGACCCCAGCACCGUUGCCGUCCAACGUGCACCCAAACCUUAUCGAGAUGGUGGACACGGAGGCCGGCUCCCACCGCUCGACGGCACGCCGGCAGACUGGGACCAAGACAUCACGGCAGCAGAAGCACAGCAGCGCCGGCUUUUCUCGGAGAACGACUGGCGGAUCUCCCACAACGGCAGCGGAGCCGCUGUCACAGUGCGCCACCCUCGACGCGCGCAGCAGCAGCAGUCGAGGCGCGGUGAAGCAGGGCGCUUCCAUUCAAAGUGGCUGUGGCAUGCAGUCGCCGCGGCAGCGGCGCACGCCGGCUCUUGCGACGGCGGCUUCGCCCCAUUGUCAUCAAGAGGAAGAGGCCCGCGCGCAGUACCGCACGAGUGCGGCCGUGGCGGUGGGCAAGAGCCUGGUGACACUGGCUGCGGAGCUUCGUCGUGGCAGCCAAAAGGGCAGAGUCGCUAGAGCAACGUGGAAGGCGACUUCGGCGCGAUCCAUCUGCCAAGAGAACGAACACAGAGCGAGUGCCUCGGCGCGUGCGCCUCACAGCGCCGGUGCGAACGUCAGUGGCAACGCUGCUGCGGCCGUUUGUGCGGCUGCGGCGAAGAAGAGGAACAGCGAGUGCCCCGCGACCGGAGUCCGAGCCCACCGGCGCGAGUUGUCUGCCGGCUCUCUGUUGUCUUCAAAUCCUCUCUGCGUCAGCCCGGCGCCCAUCCGCGAUUACUGGCUGUCCAUGCUCCUGCGGGCCCCAUUCUGGUGGACGACGCGGACGGCGAUAGCGACGGCAGCAGCGGUGGCUGGCGGAGAAGCCGCAACGUCGCCUGCCACACUGCAGCAGCAUAGCGCGCAGCUUCUGCUGUGGUCUUCCGUGCCGAUUGGCGCGGAUGGCGAAGUGGUACCGCUGCAAGAUCUGUGUCGCCUUCAGCUCGAACCAUGGCGGGCGCUCUUGGCCGUCGCGGCAGUGCCGCCGAUCAGCAAGGAAGCCCAGCAGGCGGCGCACCAGAUGCGCGUCUACGGCAAGACAGUGCCGCAGCAGCAGGCGCACCUGCACAGGAUUGUGGAGCGGCAGAAGUUGCACCACCAGUGCAAUCGGCAGAGGCGCUCGCAGGAGGACAGUCGAGAGCUGCCCGUGUUCGCGCCUCCCCGUCUCGCAUUGGCGAUCAACGCGGCGAAGACGGCGGCGACGCCGAGCGGGCCCGCGCCUUCAGCUGCGGGGACUGCGGAGCUGGAGGAGCCUGCCGUUAGCGUCGUCCCACCGCGCUUCAGUGCAAGAUGGAGGACUGCAAGCAGCGUAGGUGGCGUCGCGGACCCUCUGUUCAUGUGCUCUGCAAUGCUUCCUCUCACGCCGCUCAACAUUCCGGCGGACGCGGCAGAGCUGGAGGCGUCCACAACGACGGCGACGGUGGUGACCGCCAGCCCGCCGGCCGUCGCGCAACCUCGACGUCGCGGCACCGGAGAGGCUUACGAGAGUUGCACGCCUCCCUUUUAUGAGGUGUGCUCCCCGUCCAUGACCCCGGCGUCGUCGCACACGUCUUAUAUGCCUGCGCACGGCAAGGGCGGCGAACGCAUCCGAUGGCGUGCGCAACAGCACCGGGCGCACCGCAGCACCGCGGGGAGCAGCAACGGUUGCCCUGACUCGACGGACGUGACGACGCUGACCACGGCAGCCACGCCCAUCACAUCGACUUUUUGGAGUAUGAUGCCGAGCGGCGCCCUGGCGCCGCCCGCCUUGGCAAGCAUGCACCGCCGUACGCUAACGAACCAGGGUCUUACAGCUCACAACACGGCCAUCGUAACGACGUUGUCGAGGUGCCCUGGUGGCGCGGGCGCGAGCAGCAACGGCGCCACUAGCGACACGAGGGGCACGACAAACUGGCCAGGCGACAGCUUCGCCGCCAUGCCUGCUCCGCACACGGAGCCAAAGCCGCGGUCACGUCGGCUGGCCCCGCUGAGGAAGGAAGCGCUUCGCAGGCGCGUGCAGCUUCUAGCAGACCUGGACACAAUUAGCAAGCGAGACCAGGUGGUUCGGCAGCACUACACGGUUCAGCACCUGCAGCUGUCCAGCGCGAUGACCUACACGCAGUCAGAGGCCAUGAUGCGGCGUUAUUGCGCGCAGAGUCGUCUCGCGCUGGAGCGGCUGAUCUGCGGCGAGGUGGGCGACGCGACAGCGGCCCGUGCGGUAACGGAGAGGACGAAGGAGUUCAACUUUUAGGCGCGCGGGUAUGUCUGGCUCUGCCUAUCUGCAGAGCUCGACGGCUCGCUGCGCAUCAUGUAUAGUAAUACCAUGUCUUCUGUAAGCCCGCUUGUUUUGCAUGGGAGCGCACCGCACUUUAGCGUGCAGCUGCCUUUCGGCUCUUCUGCCCGAAGUCAUGUAAGUGCCGCCUCUCCUGAGCGCUCCACCGUCCCCCUGCUGCUUUCUCUCUCUCUCGACCGAGAGAGAGAGAGAAGCAGGAAGCGUGCACGGACGCAUACGGGCGCACAUCCACUCGCCGCCCACCCAUUCUCCACUGCGUCGCUGACUCGUCCGGGCACCGGCGCGGCGGCUGUCUUCCUCUCUCGUAUCGGGCGCGCAGAAAUGUCGAUGUGCGUGGGCGGCAGGACAAGCGCGCAUGUGCGCGUGUGCGGAGAGCGCUUGCGCGUUGAGCGCUGCUGAGCUGUAAAUAUCUCGCCAUACUUCAUCGUGUUCUCCGUCCACCCCACCCCACCCCUCACCACCACCACCAUCCACACCGACGCAAGCCGUCCUGUGUCGCGGGAGGAGUGCCGUCGCCACCGCCGCACGCCGUGGCUAAGCGGCUACCGCGUCCUUCCUUCCAUGUGACGCUCAUGCAGCUGUGUGCUCCUCUGUCGCUGCUUCGGCACCCACCAUCUCGGGGUAUGUAUGUGUAUACAUGUUCGCUUGUGCGCGCGCACCUGCUCUGCACUUUCUUCCCACCCCCUCCCACCUUCUCCUCCCGCUUCCUCGCAACAUGGCGCGACCUUCUCUGCGUGUGCUGAGAUGCUCGUCGCCAG